ACAUGCCUACAACAUAGCGUUAAUGCACCGGAUCCCAUUAGAACUCCGCAAUUAAGCGCGCUCAAGCUAGAGUACAACUGCGAUGGGUGACCGCUAGAGAAUUCCUAGUGUUUCACAUGCC
Molecule: non-coding RNA, 121 nt
Organism: Picea glauca (white spruce)
Lineage: Eukaryota; Viridiplantae; Streptophyta; Pinopsida; Pinales; Pinaceae
Source: Rfam